AUGAAGGGUAACUUAUUCUGCAGGUGCCUGAAACACAGAGAUAGACGCAACGUGGAGCAACGAUAAAUUUUAAAGGAAGGAAUACAAGUCAAACUCAGUUGAGGGAUCUUAAAAUAAUCCUUAAGGCAAAUUUUUAAUGCACUCUUCAACUUCCUCGGCCGGAAGUGGUAGCGAUUCUGUAAGAGCAAGUAUGAAAUUACCCUUUCUUAUUUUUUCUUAUUUUUUCCCCUAUUUUUUUUUAUUUGAAAAUAACGCGCUAAAGUAACGUAGCUUGUAAAAGGAAAACCCUGUUCUUCUCUGAGAGAAGCGUUUCUCAGGAUGUUCGACUAGAACGCGAUAAAGAUCAAGACUGACUUUAA
This is a long non-coding RNA of Polistes dominula (European paper wasp), 359 nucleotides long. The record is from RefSeq and is a predicted model, not a curated record. Lineage: Eukaryota; Metazoa; Arthropoda; Insecta; Hymenoptera; Vespidae.